CGCCUCUUGAAAAAAUAUAAGAGGUCCAGCCUGCCCAGUGACCAUGUUCAACGGCCGCGGUAUCCUAACCGUGCGAAGGUAGCGUAAUCACUUGUUCUUUAAAUGAGGACUAGUAUGAACGGCACCACGAAGGUUAUACUGUCUCCUUUUUCCGAUCAGUGAACCUAAUCUUCCCGUGAAGAAGCGGGAAUAUUAAUAUAAGACGAGAAGACCCUAUGGAGCUUAAAACAACACAGCACCUGCUAUAAACAUUAAAAUUCCCUACUUUUUAAGCAGCAUGACUGUAAGUUUUUGGUUGGGGUGACCACGGAGCAUAAUACAACCUCCAUGCUGAAGAAAUUUUAUUUUAAGCUAAAAACCACACUUUUAAGCAUCAAUAAAUUGACAUCCAUUGACCCAAUAUAUUUGAACAACGAACCAAGUUACCCUAGGGAUAACAGCGCAAUCCACUUCAAGAGCUCCUAUCGACAAGUGGGUUUACGACCUCGAUGUUGGAUCAGGGUUUCCCAGUGGUGCAGCCGCUACUAAAGGUUCGUUUGUUCAACGAUUAAAACCCU
RNAcentral lists this ribosomal RNA (557 nucleotides) under Peltophryne armata. RNAcentral describes it as "Peltophryne sp. SBH-2017 partial 16S ribosomal RNA". It matches the Rfam family "Bacterial large subunit ribosomal RNA", at positions 1819 to 2597 of the family's 2925-position model. Lineage: Eukaryota; Metazoa; Chordata; Amphibia; Anura; Bufonidae. The record is from RNAcentral.